UACGGAGGAUGCAAGCGUUAUCCGGAAUCAUUGGGCGUAAAGGGUCCUGAGGUGGUUUGCUAAGUCUACUGUGAAAGAUCAGGGCUCAACCCUGAAGAUGCGGUGGAAACUGGCAGGCUAGAAUACGGUAGGGGCAGGGGGAAUUCCCGGUGUAGCGGUGAAAUGCAUAGAUAUCGGGAAGAACACCAAAGGCGAAGGCACCCUGCUGGGCCGAUAUUGACACUGACAGACGAAAGCUAGGGGAGCGAAUGGG
RNAcentral lists this ribosomal RNA (253 nucleotides) under uncultured bacterium. RNAcentral's name for it is "partial 16S ribosomal RNA". It matches the Rfam family "Bacterial small subunit ribosomal RNA", at positions 524 to 776 of the family's 1533-position model. The record is from RNAcentral.